This 253-nucleotide ribosomal RNA is filed under the name uncultured bacterium. RNAcentral's name for it is "partial 16S ribosomal RNA". It matches the Rfam family "Bacterial small subunit ribosomal RNA", at positions 524 to 776 of the family's 1533-position model. The record is from RNAcentral.
UACGAGGGGGGCGAGCGUUAUUCGGAAUUAUUGGGCGUAAAGAGCUCGUAGGCGGUUUGUCGCGUCUGGUGUGAAAAUCCAGGGCUUAACCCUGGACCUGCAUCGGGUACGGGCAGACUAGAGUGCGGUAGGGGAGAUCGGAAUUCCUGGUGUAGCGGUGAAAUGCGCAGAUAUCAGGAGGAACACCGGUGGCGAAGGCGGAUCUCUGGGCCGUAACUGACGCUGAGGAGCGAAAGCAUGGGGAGCGAACAGG